RNAcentral lists this ribosomal RNA (378 nucleotides) under uncultured bacterium. RNAcentral describes it as "bacterial SSU rRNA". It matches the Rfam family "Bacterial small subunit ribosomal RNA", at positions 790 to 1167 of the family's 1533-position model. The record is from RNAcentral.
GUAGUCCACGCCCUAAACGAUGCGAACUAGGUGUUGGGGAAGGAGACUUCCUUAGUACCGCAGCUAACGCGUGAAGUUCGCCGCCUGGGGAGUACGGUCGCAAGAUUAAAACUCAAAGGAAUUGACGGGGACCCGCACAAGCGGUGGAUGAUGUGGAUUAAUUCGAUGCAACGCGAAAAACCUUACCUACCCUUGACAUGUACGGAAGCUUCUCGAGAGGGAGGCGUGCCCGAAAGGGAGCCGUAACACAGGUGCUGCAUGGCUGUCGUCAGCUCGUGUCGUGAGAUGUUGGGUUAAGUCCCGCAACGAGCGCAACCCUUGUCAUUAGUUGCUACAUUCAGUUGGGCACUCUAAUGAGACUGCCGGUGACAAACCGGA